UGCGGAAGGAUCAUUAACGAGUUUUGAAGUGGGUUUGAUGCUGGCCUUCCCAGGCAUGUGCUCGCCCUGCUCUCAUCCACUCACAUCUGUGCACCUAUAAAUGUCAGAAGAUUCAUCCCCUAGACUCUUAGGGGUGUAGUUCGAGCUAGCUUGGACUAUUGGGUUGAGUCUUUUGCGUUUACCUUUUUAUAAACUCUUGAAUGUAAUAGAAUGUUCAUGGCCUACGGGCUUUUAUAAAUGAAAUACAACUUUCAACAACGGAUCUCUUGGCUCUCGCAUCGAUGAAGAACGCAGCGAAAUGCGAUAAGUAAUGUGAAUUGCAGAAUUCAGUGAAUCAUCGAAUCUUUGAACGCACCUUGCGCUCCUGGGCUAUUCCUAGGAGCAUGCCUGUUUGAGUGUCUUGAAAUCAUCAACCCCAGUUGGAUUUUAAAUUUGACUGGUGGCUUGGACUUGGGGGCUUGCUGGCCGUUUUGAUUCGGUCUGGCUUCCCUUGAAUGUAUUAGCUUGGACUUGUUCCUAAGGCUUCAUGGCGUGAUAAUUAUCUACGCUUUGUACUGUCUGUGGAAUAUCUAUGGGUCUGGCUUCUAACUGUCCUCUGGACAAUCUUUCAAUCUUUGACCUCAAAUCAGGUAGGACUACCCGCUGAACUUAAGCAUAUCA
Molecule: ribosomal RNA, 660 nt
Filed under: Peniophorella praetermissa
Lineage: Eukaryota; Fungi; Basidiomycota; Agaricomycetes; Hymenochaetales
Description: eukaryotic LSU rRNA
Rfam family: 5.8S ribosomal RNA (bases 247-401)
Source: RNAcentral